Molecule: ribosomal RNA, 208 nt
Filed under: uncultured bacterium
Lineage: Bacteria
Description: partial 16S ribosomal RNA
Rfam family: Bacterial small subunit ribosomal RNA
Source: RNAcentral
UACGUAGGCGGCCUAUUAAGCAAGAUGUGAAAGCCCCGGGCUCAACCUGGGAAUGGCAUUUUGAACUGGUAGGCUCGAGUUCUGAAGAGGGUGGUAGAAUUUCCAGUGUAGCGGUGAAAUGCGUAGAGAUUGGAAGGAAUACCGGUGGCGAAGGCGGCCACCUGGUCAGAAACUGACGCUGAGGUACGAAAGCGGUGGGGAGCAAACA